Molecule: ribosomal RNA, 641 nt
Filed under: Desmodesmus sp. AKS-7
Lineage: Eukaryota; Viridiplantae; Chlorophyta; Chlorophyceae; Sphaeropleales; Scenedesmaceae
Description: eukaryotic LSU rRNA
Rfam family: 5.8S ribosomal RNA (bases 178-332)
Source: RNAcentral
GCGGGAGGAUCAUUGAAUAUGCAACCACAACACGCACUCUUUCACUUGUGUACCGACGUUAGGUCGAACCUCAACCAUGGUUUGGCCUACUAACCUACACACACACCAUUGACCAACAUGUGAUUAAGCCAAACUCUGAAGUUUCAGCUGCUGUUAAUCGUCAGUUUUAAAGAAAACUACUCUCAACAACGCACUAUCUUGGCUCUCGCACGAUGAAGAACGCAGCGAAAUGCGAUACGUAGUGUGAAUUGCAGGAAUUCCGUGGACCAUUAAACGCUUGAACGCCGCAUGCGCUCGCCUCGUCGGAGAAGGGCAUGUCUGCCUCAGCGUCGGUUUACACCCUCACCCCUCUUCUUUAACAGGAAGCUUGUCGUGCUUGCUCAAGCCGGCAUCAGGGGUGGAUCUGGCCCUCCCAAUCGGACUCACCUCUGAUUGGGUUGGCUGAAGCACAGAGGCUUAAACUGGGACCCGAUUCGGGCUCAACUGGAUAGGUAGCAACACCCUCGGGUGCCUACACGAAGUUGUGUCUGAGGACCUGGUUAGGAGCCAAGCAGGAAACGCGUCUCUGGCGCGUAUCUCUGUAUCCUGCACCUGAGCUCAGGCAAGGCUACCCCGCCUGAAACUAUAGGCUUUCCGACGCC